UACGUAGGGAGCGAGCGUUAUCCGGAUUUACUGGGUGUAAAGGGUGCGUAGGCGGCCUGGCAAGUCAGAAGUGAAAUUUAGGGGCUCAACCUCUAAACUGCUUCUGAAACUACCGGGCUAGAGUGCAGGAGAGGAAAGCGGAACUCCACGUGUAGCGGUGAAAUGCGUAGAGAUGUGGAGGAACACCAGUAGCGAAGGCGGCUUUCUGGACUGUAACUGACGCUGAGGCACGAAAGCGUGGGGAGCAAACAGGAUUAGAUACCCUGGUAGU
RNAcentral lists this ribosomal RNA (271 nucleotides) under uncultured prokaryote. Its description in RNAcentral is "partial 16S ribosomal RNA". It matches the Rfam family "Bacterial small subunit ribosomal RNA", at positions 524 to 794 of the family's 1533-position model. The record is from RNAcentral.